Molecule: unclassified non-coding RNA, 200 nt
Filed under: Chaetomium sp.
Lineage: Eukaryota; Fungi; Ascomycota; Sordariomycetes; Sordariales; Chaetomiaceae
Description: partial internal transcribed spacer 2
Source: RNAcentral
UUAAGUUCAGCGGGUCUUCCUACCUGAUCCGAGGUCAACCUUGGGUAAAUAAGGCUUUUUAACGGCCGGAACCCGCAGCACGCCCUGAGCGAGGUGUUUUCUUCGCUACUACGCUCGGUGUGACUAGCGAGCCCGCCACUGUUUUCAGGGCCUGCGGGCAGCCGCAGGUCCCCAACACGGGCACGGGGGGCCCGAUGGGU